CCCUAGCCCUGAUAGAAGUGGAAAUCCUUUUGCUUUUUCCUUUAAAAAGCAAAAGAUUGAAACGAAUAGCGGGAGAAAGC
This 80-nucleotide small RNA is filed under the name Flavobacterium collinsii. RNAcentral's name for it is "Flavo-1". It matches the Rfam family "Flavo-1 RNA". The record is from RNAcentral. Lineage: Bacteria; Pseudomonadati; Bacteroidota; Flavobacteriia; Flavobacteriales; Flavobacteriaceae.